GAUGAACGCUGGCGGCGUGCCUAACACAUGCAAGUCGAGCGAACGGACGAGUAGCUUGUUUCUCUGAUGUUAGCGGUGGACGGGUGAGUAACACGUGGAUAACCUACCUAUAAGACCUUGAUAAUUUCGGGAAACCGGUGCUACUACCGGAUAAUAUUUUGAACCUCAUGGUUCAAAAGUGAAAGACGGUCUUGCUGUCACUUAUAGAUGGAUCCGCGCUGUAUUAGCUAGUUGGUAAGGUAACGGCUUACCAAGGCAACGAUGCAUAGCCGACCUGAGAGGAGGGUCGGCCACACUAGAACUGAGGCGCGGUCCAGACUCCUACGAGAGGCAGCAGUAGGGAAGAUUACGGAAUGAGCGGAAGCAUGACGAAGCAACGCCGCGUGGGGAAUGAAGGUGUUCGGAGCGUAAAGCUCUGUUAUUAGGAGAGAACAAAUGUGGAAGUAACUGUGCACAGGUUGACGGUACCUGGACAAAAAGCCACGGCUAACUACGUG
This 497-nucleotide ribosomal RNA is filed under the name uncultured bacterium. Its description in RNAcentral is "partial 16S ribosomal RNA". It matches the Rfam family "Bacterial small subunit ribosomal RNA", at positions 28 to 507 of the family's 1533-position model. The record is from RNAcentral.